UUAGGACAAAGGCGAUAACGGCUGCUCAAGAGGUUGUGAGGUGUGCGUUGCCAUUGAGUAUUAGGAAGAAUCCUGAGAAGGCUCGAGGGAUACGAAUAACUAUUGGUAUGUUGUCUCAUGUUCAUGCUAGAGCUCAUGAACACGUGCUUUUGCCUUCGGUAGCUAAGAUUACUGAGUUGAAAUCUGAGGGAAGGAGGGAUGUUGAAAACGGGAAGUAUGAUCUUUGUGUGUGUACUAUGGUGUGGAAUCAAGGUUCAGCGCUUCGUGAAUGGAUUACAUAUCAUUCUUGGCUUGGAGUUGAGAGGUGGUUUAUCUACGACAAUAAUAGCGAUGACAAUAUCAAGGAUGUGAUUGAAGAGCUUGAGAUUGAGAAUUACAAUGUUACACGACAUGUUUGGCCGUGGAUCAAGACUCAAGAAGCAGGCUUUUCGCAUUGUGCUCUUAGAGCGAAGAAAGAAUGUAAUUGGGUAUCGUUCAUGGAUGUGGAUGAGUAUUUCUACUUUCCGUAUUCUACUCCAGGGCAUCAAAGUUUGAGAAGCUCAGGUUACGCGGGACAGGAUUCCCUUCGAUCCCUCGUGGCAAAUGUAUCAUCAUCUUCACCAGGAAUUGCGGAGAUUAGAACAACUUGCCAUAGUUUUGGACCGUCUGGUCUGAAUUCAGCUCCUUCUCAGGGUAUCACUGUUGGAUAUACUUGUCGUCUUAAGAGUCCCGAGAGACACAAAUCAAUCAUACGUCCCGAUGCUUUGGACACCACUCUCCUCAAUGUGGUGCAUCAUUUCCACUUGAGGAAAGGAUUUAGCUACAUGAAUUUGCCACAAAGUACUGCAGUGAUAAACCACUACAAAUACCAAGUGUGGGAGGUAUUCAGGGCGAAAUUUUUCAGACGAGUAGCUACAUAUGUCGUCGAUUGGCAGAACAAUCAAAAUGAAGGAUCAAGGGAUAGAGCACCUGGUUUAGGGACAGAGGCCAUUGAGCCACCAAAUUGGCCAUUACAAUUCUGUGAAGUUUGGGAUACCGGCCUUCGAGACUUUGUUUUGUCAAACUUUGCUGAUUUAUCAACUGGUUUGUUGCCUUGGGAGAAGUCUUCUUUCUAAUCACUGAGUCCCGAUAACUAUCGUAGAGAAAGGAAGUCUAGAAGCCAGGGCUUUGUUCACCUUUGGACACGAGCACUAUUCCAUUCUCGGGGGAAAUCCGUCUUGGAGAUUGAACAACAAUAAGAUGAGUCAACGUUCAAUCUAAGCUAGGGAGCUUGAACAAAGGCUCAAAGCCAAUCCCACGGAAUAGUAAAGCUUCACAGGGUCUUUCUGUCCAGGUGCAGG
This 1319-nucleotide unclassified non-coding RNA is filed under the name Hevea brasiliensis (rubber tree). Lineage: Eukaryota; Viridiplantae; Streptophyta; Magnoliopsida; Malpighiales; Euphorbiaceae. The record is from RNAcentral.